UACGUAGGGGGCUAGCGUUGUCCGGAAUCAUUGGGCGUAAAGAGCGUGUAGGCGGCCCGGUAAGUCCGCUGUGAAAGUCGAGGGCUCAACCCUCGAAUGCCGGUGGAUACUGUCGGGCUAGAGUGCGGAAGAGGCGAGUGGAAUUCCUGGUGUAGCGGUGAAAUGCGCAGAUAUCAGGAGGAACACCAAUGGCGAAGGCAGCUCACUGGGACGGUACUGACGCUGAGACGCGAAAGCGUGGGGAGCAAACAGG
This 253-nucleotide ribosomal RNA is filed under the name uncultured bacterium. RNAcentral's name for it is "partial 16S ribosomal RNA". It matches the Rfam family "Bacterial small subunit ribosomal RNA", at positions 524 to 776 of the family's 1533-position model. The record is from RNAcentral.